UACGGAGGGUGCAAGCGUUAUCCGGAUUCACUGGGUUUAAAGGGUGCGUAGGCGGACAGGUAAGUCAGUGGUGAAAUCUCUGGGCUUAACUCAGAAACUGCCGUUGAUACUAUUUGUCUUGAAUAUCUUGGAGGUAAGCGGAAUAUGUCAUGUAGCGGUGAAAUGCUUAGAUAUGACAUAGAACACCCAUUGCGAAGGCAGCUCACUACGCAUAUAUUGACGCUGAUGCACGAAAGCGUGGGGAUCAAACAGG
RNAcentral lists this ribosomal RNA (253 nucleotides) under uncultured bacterium. Its description in RNAcentral is "partial 16S ribosomal RNA". It matches the Rfam family "Bacterial small subunit ribosomal RNA", at positions 524 to 776 of the family's 1533-position model. The record is from RNAcentral.